Long non-coding RNA from Microplitis mediator, 2884 nucleotides. RefSeq lists it as uncharacterized. The transcript has 5 exons. The record is from RefSeq and is a predicted model, not a curated record. Lineage: Eukaryota; Metazoa; Arthropoda; Insecta; Hymenoptera; Braconidae.
GCAAAUGAUUUUAUUUUCAAGCUUUGAUUAUAAAUUAUUCCGCGUUUGUAUACGUAUGUGUGUAAGUUUUGUGUGCAUGUGCAUCUCGUAAAAGUGAUUCCCCAUUCAACCUAUGUAUGUGUGUGUGUGUCCUGUUCGUCAGUAGGUAGUAGUAGAUUAUUAUUUUAGGAGUGGGGACGAAAUUACUAUCAGGAUUGUAAAAAUUACAAUCUGGAUUGUCAUAAUUAUUAAGAUUCUUUUAGUUCUUAUAAUAGAAUUAAUUCAAAACGUUUUAUGGAAAAAUAUAAUUCUGAUUCCGAGUGAGAAAAUAUCGAAAUUUGUGUUUAUUUAAAUGUUGAGAUAUACUAGCUAUAAAAUUUCAGUGCUACUGAAGUAUUGUCAUUGAUUCGAGAGUUUAUCGCAAACAAAUAUUCUAAUAAAAAAAAAAACAAUGAAGAUUAUCAGUGUUAUAAAUACGUAUCUAUCUAGAGCUGGAGAUCACGAGAGUGGAAGGUUAACAAGGAAAAAAGAUUAAAUAAAAUAAUCUAUAUUUUAUUAAGUUCUUUGAUAUGUUUUAAAUCUUCUUUAAGAUCACUAAAAUUUAAAAUUAUUAACUCUAUAAUGCUCGGCCUUCAAACCCCACCAUAAUUUUGAUUUAAAAGCUGGAAGAGUAGGGAGCGCUUAGGCGAUGGACGCCAGUGUCGUAAUAGUAGGAGAGCCCAGGCGGGGAUUUCGGGAUUUACUCGAGCGCAGCAGAUUAAUAUACAGGAGGGUACCUUGUACCCGGUUAAGUACUAUAAUAUGUACACUCGUUGUCAUUAAUGCCUGCCCCCCCCCCCCCCAGACUAUAGAAUCUUAGCCAUGCAGGGGACCAGGCAUUAAUGACAACGAGUGUAUAACCUGCGAAAAAAAAAUAUUUAACAUGAGACUAGUUGGACGUCAAUUGGGAUGUCCGUGUGUGAGCAAGAUAUCUCUCGAAAAACUCAAUUAAUCAGUCCAAUUUUUUUUCAAUAGCUUCAGAUUUUAUUAGAAUAGAAGCCUUUUAAAUAUUUCUACUGUAGUCCUUCUCGUUCAUUUAUUAUCAAUUAAAAACUGAAAACUGAUUAUGUUUACUAAUGCUUAAUCCGCCAUUUUUCCCCCACAAAUAUAAGUAGGCAUGAUUAUCAUGAAACUUUGCUGAUAUUAUAAGGCUCCACUUUACCAUCCGAUAAUUUUUUUUUUUUUUCAUUAUAUCGUGUGACAAAUCGACUUGCCAACUGUUAUCUAAUUAGCUAAAUUAAAAAAAAAAAAAAGGAAUGUCGAGAUGUUUAUUAAAAAAUUUUGCAAUAAAGAAAAAUUAUUAAUAAUUAAUUUUAUUGUAAUAUGAGCGUUCGAGGCGUGCACUUUUGGAUUUUCCAAAUUUUUUUUUAUUUGCCAAGGCUUGGGGACAUUGUUAUCAUCCUAGGCUUGGACCAAUCCUUGGCCCAAUGUUUAGCCAGACCUUAUCUGAGGCUGGUGACACUUGGCUCAGGGUCGGUCCAAGCCUUGCCCAGUUGUUCUUUCCUACCUGGGUACCGUGAAAAUAUUGUUCAAGAUGAAAAAAAAAUUUUGGUAAAAUUUGAGCUCUUAAUAUUAAUAUUAAGAGGUUCCGCUUCGUAAUUUUUGAUUGUCCAUUUAAAUAACAUGGGAAAAAAAUUGUUAAGUUUGGAAUUUUAUGCCUCGGCAAUCGCUCAUUGUACAGAUAGGGUCAAGAAAUAUUUUGUAGGGAAUUAAACGUUAUACAAAUAAAUUUAUCAUUUUUUGAUAAAUCCAUUUGUUCAAAAGUUAUUGGAGCUUCAAGUCAAAAUUAUAAUAAAUUUCAAGAUCUUUUUACUUUUCUGGUGAAACUAUCAGACUUAUCACAAAAUUUCAUAGGAACUUCUUUAGAGACAAUUUUAUUCCCUACAAAUUUUUCUAGUAAAGUUUUUUCAAAUUCCGCAUUGUUUUCUAGUUAUUUUCAUCCUAAUGUUAAGUUCUUGAAAUUGAUCAGAAGACUAUUUUUUGUGGAGCUUGACAUCGAAAUGAAAAUAACUAGAUAACAAUGCGUUAAUGGUCAAGAUCAUGACAUAUUUCAAAAAAUAAAUAAUGACAUAUAUGAAGACCAAUAUAUGAGGAAUUUUCCACACGACUGUACGACGUUUUAUUUGCAUACUAUUGUUUUGUCAAAAGUUCAAUAGGUUUUGAUUGAUAACGCGUUGGUUUUGUUUAUUCAAAUUUGUUAUUGCUAACUUAUUUUACAAUGUUAGACCUGACAUUGACUCAUGCACAAAAUUGUUAGCGUCAGCGAUUUGCAGUAUGUUACAGUAUAUUUAUUUUUUAUGGAUAUAUGCAUAAUCCUUGAGAACUGGAUACAAAAGCUCACAUUUCGAUCGAUAUUGUUGCAGACGUCUUCUUCAUCUCCAGCAUCGCUCGAGUAUUCAAAGUUCAUAUUUUUUUAAAUCGUCAAAAACGACAACAAUUUCCAAAAUGUUCAAAGUGUUGAUAUUCUCACUUUUGAUGCUCGCAUUGGUAGCAACUAUUAAUGCUGUUAUAAAUUGUGAAGGACGAUGGUGUCACCCGAGUCAGGGUUACGACUGCUGCAUCGGUUUUGCCUGUUCAGCCUAUUUCUGGCAAGGUUUCUGCAUGGGUAGAAUCGGAUAAUACCAGUAUAUUUUUUGAUGCCAAAAAAAAUUAUGUAGGAUCAAUAACUUAAUAAAUAUACCCGUUAAAAGUUUUUCAAAAUAAUGGAUAUUUUUUUAACAAUUUUACUAAGCGUUUGAAUCUCUGUAACUUUUGAAGAAUUGAUUUUAUGGAAUUUUUCAAACAGAUCCUCAUGUAUGUAACUAUAUUUAAACAUGUUUUGGUUUUGCUACAAGAUUUAAUACAGUAAUGAAAACAACAAUAACAA